GAGCCAUCUGUCCACAUGGAACUGAAAAAUCUACUGCGCCACAGGCAGGGAGGACAAGCCAACAACACAGGAGCUUUUGCUUGUGUUGAUUUGGGACUUGGUCACAGUUUUCUGGACACACAUGCAAGGCCUUCAAAUCUUCGCACUAGAUUCUGAUUGGGCUGAGUUGAUCCAGGACGCCUUGAAUGCCUUCGGCUGCGUGACGGGAAGUGUUGGGCUCGGCGUCGCCUCCCUCUCCUCCAAGUCAUCGAAGCUCACUUCCUGCACGGCCUCCUGUU
Long non-coding RNA from Morone saxatilis (striped sea-bass), 278 nucleotides. RefSeq lists it as uncharacterized. The transcript is spliced from 3 exons. NCBI's taxonomy places the organism in Eukaryota, Metazoa, Chordata, Actinopteri, Moronidae. The record is from RefSeq and is a predicted model, not a curated record.